CUGCAGAAGAAGCACCGGCUAACUCCGUGCCAGCAGCCGCGGUAAUACGGAGGGGUGCGAGCGUUUAAUCGGAAUUACUGGGCGUAAAGCGCAUGCAGGUGGUUUGUUAAGUCAGAUGUGAAAGCCCGGGGCUCAACCUCGGAAUUGCAUUUGAAACUGGCAAACUAGAGUACUGUAGGAGGGGGUAGAAUUUCAGGUGUAGCGGUGAAAUGCGUAGAGAUCUGAAGGAAUACCGGUGGCGAAGGCGGCCCCCUGGACAGAUACUGACACUCAGAUGCGAAAGCGUGGGGAGCAAACAGGAUUAGAUACCCUGGUAG
This 317-nucleotide ribosomal RNA is filed under the name uncultured bacterium. Its description in RNAcentral is "bacterial SSU rRNA". It matches the Rfam family "Bacterial small subunit ribosomal RNA", at positions 479 to 793 of the family's 1533-position model. The record is from RNAcentral.